RNAcentral lists this ribosomal RNA (460 nucleotides) under uncultured bacterium. Its description in RNAcentral is "partial 16S ribosomal RNA". It matches the Rfam family "Bacterial small subunit ribosomal RNA", at positions 338 to 795 of the family's 1533-position model. The record is from RNAcentral.
CCUACGGGUGGCAGCAGUGAGGAAUAUUGGUCAAUGGACGCAAGCCUGAACCAGCCAUGCCGCGUGCAGGAAGACGGCUCUACGAGUUGUAAACUGCUUUUGUACGAGGGUAAACGCAGAUACGCGUAUCUGUCUGAAAGUAUCGUACGAAUAAGGAUCGGCUAACUCCGUGCCAGCAGCCGCGGUAAUACGGAGGAUUCAAGCGUUAUCCGGAUUUAUUGGGUUUAAAGGGUGCGUAGGCGGUCGGAUAAGUUAGUGGUGAAAUCCCGAGGCUCAACUUCGGAAUUGCAUUUGAUACUGUUCGGCUAGAGAGUAGUUGCGGUAGGCGGAAUGUAUGGUGUAGCGGUGAAAUGCUUAGAGAUCAUACAGAACACCGAUUGCGAAGGCAGCUUACCAAGCUACUUCUGACGUUGAGGCACGAAAGCGUGGGGAUCAAACAGGAUUAGAUACCCGUGUAGUC